Molecule: ribosomal RNA, 429 nt
Filed under: Actinomycetes bacterium
Lineage: Bacteria; Bacillati; Actinomycetota; Actinomycetes
Description: Actinobacteria bacterium partial 16S ribosomal RNA
Rfam family: Bacterial small subunit ribosomal RNA
Source: RNAcentral
UAGGGAAUCUUCCGCAAUGGGCGAAAGCCUGACGGAGCAACGCCGCGUGAGUGAUGAAGGUCUUCGGAUCGUAAAACUCUGUUAUUAGGGAAGAACAAAUGUGUAAGUAACUAUGCACGUCUUAACGGUACCUAAUCAGAAAGCCACGGCUAACUACGUGCCAGCAGCCGCGGUAAUACGUAGGUGGCAAGCGUUAUCCGGAAUUAUUGGGCGUAAAGCGCGCGUAGGCGGUUUUUUAAGUCUGAUGUGAAAGCCCACGGCUCAACCGUGGAGGGUCAUUGGAAACUGGAAAACUUGAGUGCAGAAGAGGAAAGUGGAAUUCCAUGUGUAGCGGUGAAAUGCGCAGAGAUAUGGAGGAACACCAGUGGCGAAGGCGACUUUCUGGUCUGUAACUGACGCUGAUGUGCGAAAGCGUGGGGAUCAAACAGG